GACGAACGCUGGCGGCGUGCCUAAUACAUGCAAGUAGAACGCUGAAGGAGGAGCUUGCUUCUCUGGAUGAGUUGCGAACGGGUGAGUAACGCGUAGGUAACCUGCCUGGUAGCGGGGGAUAACUAUUGGAAACGAUAGCUAAUACCGCAUAAGAGUAGAUGUUGCAUGACAUUUGCUUAAAAGUUUCAAUUGCAUCACUACCAGAUGGACCUGCGUUGGAUUAGCUAGUUGUUGGGGUAACGGCUCACCAAGGCGACGAUACAUAGCCGACCUGAGAGGGUGAUCGGCCACACUGGGACUGAGACACGGCCCAGACUCCUACGGGAGGCAGCAGUAGGGAAUCUUCGGCAAUGGACGGAAGUCUGACCGCGCAACGCCGAGUGAGUGAAGAAGGUUUUCGGAUCGUAAAGCUCUGUUGUAAGAGAAGAACGAGUGUGAGAGUGGAAAGUUCACACUGUGACGGUAUCUUACCAGAAAGGGACGGCUAACUACGUG
This 495-nucleotide ribosomal RNA is filed under the name uncultured bacterium. RNAcentral's name for it is "partial 16S ribosomal RNA". It matches the Rfam family "Bacterial small subunit ribosomal RNA", at positions 28 to 507 of the family's 1533-position model. The record is from RNAcentral.